UUUUAUGGAGAGUUUGAUCCUGGCUCAGAGUGAACGCUGGCGGCGUGCCUAAUACAUGCAAGUCGAACGGACAAGUAAGAGCUUGCUCUU
This 90-nucleotide ribosomal RNA is filed under the name Campylobacter hyointestinalis subsp. lawsonii. Its description in RNAcentral is "partial 16S ribosomal RNA". It matches the Rfam family "Bacterial small subunit ribosomal RNA", at positions 1 to 87 of the family's 1533-position model. The record is from RNAcentral. Lineage: Bacteria; Pseudomonadati; Campylobacterota; Epsilonproteobacteria; Campylobacterales; Campylobacteraceae.